GAUGAACGCUGGCGGCGUGCUUAACACAUGCAAGUCGAACGAGAAGUGAAGACGGAAACCUUCGGGCGGAAGGCUUUAUUUCGAGUGGCGGACGGGUGAGUAACGCGUGGGUAACCUGCCUCAUACAGGGGGAUAACAGUUGGAAACGACUGUUAAUACCGCAUAAGACCACAGCACCGCAUGGUGCGGGGGUAAAAACUCCGGUGGUAUGAGAUGGACCCGCGUUCGAUUAGCCAGUUGGCGGGGUAACGGCCCACCAAAGCGACGAUCGAUAGCCGAUCUGAAAGGAUGACCGGCCACAUUGGGACUGAGACACGGCCCAAACUCCUACGGGAGGCAGCAGUGGGGAAUAUUGCACAAUGGGGGAAACCCUGAUGCAGCGACGCCGCGUGAGUGAAGAAGUAUUUCGGUAUGUAAAGCUCUAUCAGCAGGGAAGAAAAUGACGGUACCUGAGUAAGAAGCCCCGGCUAACUACGUG
RNAcentral lists this ribosomal RNA (478 nucleotides) under uncultured bacterium. RNAcentral describes it as "partial 16S ribosomal RNA". It matches the Rfam family "Bacterial small subunit ribosomal RNA", at positions 28 to 507 of the family's 1533-position model. The record is from RNAcentral.